GAUGAAGAACGUAGUGAAAUGCGAUAAGUAAUGUGAAUUGCAGAAUUCAGUGAAUCAUCGAAUCUUUGAACGCACCUUGCACCCUUUGGCAUUCCGAAGGGUAUGCUCGUUUGAGUGUCAUUGUACUCUCACACUCUCCGAUCCUAUGGAUUCGGGGAGCGGUGGACUUGGGUGUUGCUGCCUUUCCUUGUGGCUCACCUCAAAUGUGUCAGUGCACCUCUUGGUUGGACAUAGUACGGCGUGAUAAGUGUCUUCGCCGGCACCUCGCAAGAGGGUGGCCGAUCGGGAGCUCUGUGCUUUCAAACCGUCUUCGGACAAUUUUUGACAACUUGACCUCAAAUCGAGUAGGACUACCCGCUGAACUUAAGCAUAUCAAUAAGCGGAGGA
Molecule: unclassified non-coding RNA, 387 nt
Filed under: soil metagenome
Description: partial contains 5.8S ribosomal RNA, internal transcribed spacer 2, and large subunit ribosomal RNA
Rfam family: 5.8S ribosomal RNA (bases 1-120)
Source: RNAcentral